RNAcentral lists this ribosomal RNA (460 nucleotides) under uncultured bacterium. RNAcentral describes it as "partial 16S ribosomal RNA". It matches the Rfam family "Bacterial small subunit ribosomal RNA", at positions 338 to 795 of the family's 1533-position model. The record is from RNAcentral.
CCUACGGGAGACAGCAGUGAGGAAUAUUGGUCAAUGGACGAGAGUCUGAACCAGCCAAGUAGCGUGAAGGAUGACUGCCCUAUGGGUUGUAAACUUCUUUUAUAUGGGAAUAAAACAGGGCAUGCAUACCCUCUUGUAUGUACCAUAUGAAUAAGGAUCGGCUAACUCCGUGCCAGCAGCCGCGGUAAUACGGAGGAUCCGAGCGUUAUCCGGAUUUAUUGGGUUUAAAGGGAGCGUAGGUGGAUUGUUAAGUCAGUUGUGAAAGUUUGCGGCUCAACCGUAGAAUUGCAGUUGAAACUGGCAGUCUUGAGUACAGUAGAGGUGGGCGGAAUUCGUGGUGUAGCGGUGAAAUGCUUAGAUAUCACGAAGAACUCCGAUUGCGAAGGCAGCUCACUGGACUGCAACUGACGCUGAUGCUCGAAAGUGUGGGUAUCGAACAGGAUUAGAUACCCUUGUAGUC